UACAGGGCGCAGCAGUGGGGAAUUUUUGGACAAUGGAAGCCUGAUCAGCAUAACGUGUGCGAUGAAGGCCUUCGGGUUGUCAAAACACUUUUGGCGGAAAAAACGUGCGGAUGUGCCAUUGCAGCCAAAUAAUUACCUGCGGAGAAUGGCUUCCAGCUAACAGUGCCAGCAGCCGCGGUAAUGGCGGGUGCAAGCGUUAAUCAGAUUACUGGGCGUAAAGCGUGCGCGAACGGUUCGGAAAGAAAGAUGUGAAAUCCCAGGCUUAACUUUGGAACUGCAUUUUUAACUACCGAGCUAGAGUGUGUCAGAGGGAGGUGGAAUUCCGCGAUAGCAGUGAAAUGCGUAGAUAUGCGGAGGAACACACCGAUGGCGAAGGCAGCCUCCUGGGAUAACACUGACGCUCAUGCACGAAAGCGUGGGAGCAAACAGGAUUAGAUACCCGUGUAGU
This 448-nucleotide unclassified non-coding RNA is filed under the name uncultured Bordetella sp. Its description in RNAcentral is "partial 16S-23S ribosomal RNA intergenic spacer". It matches the Rfam family "Bacterial small subunit ribosomal RNA", at positions 340 to 794 of the family's 1533-position model. The record is from RNAcentral. Lineage: Bacteria; Pseudomonadati; Pseudomonadota; Betaproteobacteria; Burkholderiales; Alcaligenaceae.